Molecule: ribosomal RNA, 236 nt
Filed under: uncultured Staphylococcus sp.
Lineage: Bacteria; Bacillati; Bacillota; Bacilli; Caryophanales; Staphylococcaceae
Description: partial 16S ribosomal RNA
Rfam family: Bacterial small subunit ribosomal RNA
Source: RNAcentral
GGGUGAGUAACACGUGGAUAACCUACCUAUAAGACUGGGAUAACUUCGGGAAACCGGAGCUAAUACCGGAUAAUACAUUGAACCGCAUGGUUCAAUAGUGAAAGACGGUUUUGCUGUCACUUAUAGAUGGAUCCGCGCCGCAUUAGCUAGUUGGUAAGGUAACGGCUUACCAAGGCAACGAUGCGUAGCCGACCUGAGAGGGUGAUCGGCCACACUGGAACUGAGACACGGUCCAG